This 393-nucleotide ribosomal RNA is filed under the name uncultured bacterium. RNAcentral describes it as "bacterial SSU rRNA". It matches the Rfam family "Bacterial small subunit ribosomal RNA", at positions 28 to 422 of the family's 1533-position model. The record is from RNAcentral.
GACGAACGCUGGCGGCGUGCUUAACACAUGCAAGUCGAGCGGUAAGGCCCUUUCGGGGGUACACGAGCGGCGAACGGGUGAGUAACACGUGGGUGACCUGCCUUUAGCUCUGGGAUAAGCCUGGGAAACCGGGUCUAAUACCGGAUAUGACUCCGCGGCGCAUGUUGUGGGGUGGAAAGCCUUGUGCGGCUGGAGAUGGGCCCGCGGCCUAUCAGCUUGUUGGUGGGGUGAUGGCCUACCAAGGCGACGACGGGUAGCCGGCCUGAGAGGGCGACCGGCCACACUGGGACUGAGACACGGCCCAGACUCCUACGGGAGGCAGCAGUGGGGAAUCUUGCGCAAUGGGCGAAAGCCUGACGCAGCGACGCCGCGUGAGUGAUGAAGGCCUUAGGG